UUAAUUUCCUUUGAGUGCCACCAUUUCCUCAGUGUAGAGUUUUCAUUUGCUUACUUUAUUAAAAUGGAAAAUGACAAGUUCAGAUCAUUGCAAAACACUCGACCACGACCAAGCAACAGGAAAAUUAUUUCAAAGAAUAUCAAAGUUUUCUUUGAUUUUUAAGGAGGUAGGUCAACUUAAUUCAUCCUAUUAUGUGAUCUUUCUUUCUGACUUUAAGAAAAUGUCCUUUGAUUUCACACCUCACUUUCCAGAUCAGAUAUUGCUCUUGUACCUAUGUACUUUUGGUUCUUAAGUGAUUUUCUUGGGUAUCAAAUAUUUUGGGGGGUACAGCCUAAUUAGUUUCAAAGUGCUAAUGAUAUUUCAUGUUAAUCAGCUAGAAGAAACACUGAUCUUAGUGGUUUGCAGUCUCCCUCUCUUCCCCUGUUCCCUGAGAUUCACAAUAAAUUCUAGGCUGAUGUACCGGAGAGGCUCAUAAAGUCUAGGUCCUCAGUCUAUAGUGUUCACCAUCUCUGUUGCUCUCUGUUGCUCUUUCAGCUUCCUAAUGCUACUGAGUUCUGAUCCCUGCUGUUUCUGCAUAGGUUUUCAGGCAUAGUCAGAAAUUGUCAAGUCAAAUUACAGACUUCAUAGUCCAUGGUUAUCCCCAUUCUAAGGGCUCAGGGAUCCUUUCCCAGAUUCUCUUGCUUUUUCAGCCAUUGUUUUUGUUUUUUACAGUAGAUACUUAGAUCCAGGUUUUAUCGGCACAUUAGAUACACAGGCAGUCUGACUGGCAUUUAGAGUGUUUGGAAUAGAUGUGAAGCAGCAUGAUUUAAAGUUAAUUGCAUCUGGGUUUGAAUUGUGGCCUGGCCACUUUCUAGAUGUGUGACAUUAGGAAGCCACUCAGCCAUUUUGAACCUCAGUUUCCUCAUCUGUUAAAUGGGAGUUACUAUUGAUUUUAUGAGCAUUGACUGUAAUAAUAUACAUGGAAUAGUUUGUUUACAGCUUGGCAUAUUAAAGGUGUUUAUUAACUUCUGUCAUUUUGUUUUUCGUAAUAUUUUUGUUCAUCUGUCAGUAUUGUGGGUAUUAGUAUUUAUACUCCAGUCCUUUGGAUUCCAAUUUUUAUGUCUUCUUGCAUUUUAAGGAUUUUAUUUGUGAUUCUCCUUAGACGGUAUUGCUCAGCAUAUGUUUAUUGAGUGUGUGCCAGGCCCUGUGCUAAGUAUGUAGAGUUAAAAUAGACAUGGUUUGUCCUGAGCAGUAAAGAGUUCAUGGUCUACUCCCAGUAGACAAAGUAAAUAAUGUGUGUGUAUGAGUAAGUAAUGUUCCCUCCUCAACCUGUUAAUGUUGGAGUGUGCCAAGGCCCAGGUCUAACCCAUCUACACUUGGUUCACUUAGUGACCUCCUCCAGUGUUGUUGCUUGAGAUACCAUCUGUAUGCUAAAAACUCAAAUCUCCAGCCAAAACCCUCUACCUUGAACUCCAGAUGUGUAUAUCCAACUAUCUACCUAACAUGUCCACUUUGAUAUCUAAUAAGCAUCUCAAACUUGCUAUGUCAAACCAAACUCGAGGUCUUCUCCCACCCACUGCCCACUUGCUCCUGUCUCAGUCUUCCUCUUCUUCUUCCCUCCUUUCAGUGGAUCUGGCCCAAACCUUGACUGUAAUGUGAUUCUUCUUUUUCUCUCAUAACCCACCCCUGAUCCAACCACAAAUCUGUUGGCCCAACAUUCAAAAUAUAUAAUAUAUUCAAAAAAUAACCAUUUCAUACAUCCUCCACAGCCAUCACCCUGUUCCACACACCAGGAUUGCUUGUAUUAUUGCUAGAGCCUUCUGAUGGGUUUUCUGGAUUCCUCUCUUGAUAUUCUACAGUCAUGAAGACAGUAGCCUUAAAAAGUGUCCUCCGUCAACUCCAGAUGUCUGAAGCUGACACUGGCGUGAACCCCACCCCACAGCCCUGCUCCAGUCCAUGAGAUUGUACCUAAGUAACAGUGACCUGGAGAUCAAACCCCAUGAAAUAGGGGACCAGACUUAUUCCACUGUUUGGUGUGGGCUAGUAACGCCAACCUGUGAAGAGUGUAGUGCUCCCAUUUUCAA
Non-coding RNA from Kogia breviceps (pygmy sperm whale), 2063 nucleotides. The record is from RefSeq and is a predicted model, not a curated record. NCBI's taxonomy places the organism in Eukaryota, Metazoa, Chordata, Mammalia, Artiodactyla, Physeteridae.